Molecule: long non-coding RNA, 1126 nt
Organism: Bombus pascuorum
Lineage: Eukaryota; Metazoa; Arthropoda; Insecta; Hymenoptera; Apidae
Exons: 3
Source: RefSeq, a predicted model, not a curated record
UUUAUUGUCUGCAUUGUAACGUGUAAGUAGUAUCUAUUCUAAUGUUUCGAGGUUUUCAUUCUUAUUUAUAAAAAAGUAACUUUCUCUGUAACAGAAAGUAUCUGAAAACCAUACAGAUCUGAUUCGGUUACGCUCCAAAUACUAUUUAUCGCUACAUAAAGGAUUCGUUCUACCCGAAAAUAUCAUUGUAUUUUCAUCUAUCGCCAUGAAAUCGUUGAAAAUUGUCAGCUUACUUUGUUUUCUCACUUUAAUAAUAUUUGCGAAUGUAAAAGGUAAUAGAGGAAAAACAACUAUGCAGAGUGAUGCUAUGGAAAUUGGGGAUGUACCACGUGUAAAAAUAAAAGUAUUUCGAGGUUCAAAUAAAGAACAAAAUGGAGAGCAAUUUUCUACGUGGGGAUUUUGGAUCAAACAACCAGCGACAAUGAAAUGAGGGCACGUUAAAUAUCACUUUGUAAUUAUUGCGCGCAUAAAAACUUAUGGUUUAUUUUUUGUAUGAAAUACGAAUGCAUAAAUAUGUAUAUAUUUUAUUGUAGAACAAAAGAAAAGAAUUUUUUUUUUAGUAGAAUAUGUAGGUACAUAAAUUACUUUUUAAAUCUUGCUUAUUAUUUCUUGAUAAAAUAUUGUGAUCGUUAUAAAUUUACAAAUUUAUACACGAACGUAAUCCCUGGGAAUAUAUUAUAUAGAUAUAUGUUUAAAAAUGUAUUACAUAUUUUUAUGCAUGCACUGUUAGUUUCCACAGUGUUGAUUAAAGUUUUGCAAAGAAUAUUACGGGAAUUUCAAUGUCACACAAAAGGAGCUUGAUAUUUUUGAAUGUCAUGAUACCUAAGAAGAAUUCUGUAUAAAAAAUGGAAAUAAAAAUAAAUACUGCACAUGAAUAUUAUAUAUUGUUAUUGAUAAAUACUGUUUAUUAAUAAAAUUAUGUUGUCAAAAAGAAGCGCUUUUAUUUCAACUUAGAAACGAACAUUUCGUACAUUACAAUUCAAUAUCUUUAUAUCGUUUCGAAUCGAGUUCCAUAAAUCGAGUCAGAUUCAAAUAAUAUUAAUGCAUAUGUAAGAUUGAUAAACAAUACUGUAUCAUAAGUACAUGUAUAUCUAUUGUCUGUUUAAGGACUGUAUCAAUUAAAGGU